UGGUGGAGUGAUUUGUCUGCUUAAUUGCGAUAACGAACGAGACCUUAACCUGCUAAAUAGUUACGUGAAUUUCGAUUCAUGGCCAACUUCUUAGAGGGACUUUUGCGUGUUAAACCAAAGGAAGUUUGAGGCAAUAACA
This 139-nucleotide ribosomal RNA is filed under the name uncultured eukaryote. RNAcentral's name for it is "partial 18S ribosomal RNA". It matches the Rfam family "Eukaryotic small subunit ribosomal RNA", at positions 1299 to 1458 of the family's 1831-position model. The record is from RNAcentral.